RNAcentral lists this ribosomal RNA (623 nucleotides) under uncultured fungus. Its description in RNAcentral is "eukaryotic LSU rRNA". It matches the Rfam family "Eukaryotic large subunit ribosomal RNA", at positions 24 to 664 of the family's 3401-position model. The record is from RNAcentral. Lineage: Eukaryota; Fungi.
CCCGCUGAACUUAAGCAUAUCAAUAAGCGCAGGAAAAGAAACCAACAGGGAUUGCCUCAGUAACGGCGAGUGAAGCGGCACCAGCUCAAAUUUGAAAUCUGGCCUCUCGGGGUCCGAGUUGUAAUUUGUAGAGGAUGUUUUGGGUACCGCCCCGGUCUAAAUUUCUUGGAACAGAAUGUCAGAGAGGGUGAGAAUCCCGUCUUGGACCGGCGGUAGGGCCUGUGUAAAACUCCUUCGACGAGUCGAGUUGUUUGGGAAUGCAGCUCAAAAUGGGUGGUAAAUUUCAUCUAAAGCUAAAUAUUGGCCAGAGACCGAUAGCGCACAAGUAGAGUGAUCGAAAGAUGAAAAGCACUUUGAAAAGAGAGUUAAACAGUAUGUGAAAUUGUUGAAAGGGAAGCGCUUGCGACCAGACUCGCCUGCGGGGUUCAGCCGGCUUUCGGGCCGGUGUACUUCCCCGUAGGCGGGCCAGCGUCGGUUUGGGCGGCCGGUCAAAGGCCUCCGGAAUGUAUCGCCCCCCGUGGCGUCUUAUAGCCGGAGGUGCAAUGCGGCCAGCCCGGACCGAGGAACGCGCUUCGGCACGGACGCUGGCAUAAUGGUCGUAAGCGACCCGUCUUGAAACACGG